AAAUUCCUUGUCGGGUAAGUUCCGACCCGCACGAAAGGCGUAACGAUCUGGGCACUGUCUCAACGAGAGACUCGGUGAAAUUAUAGUACCUGUGAAGAUGCAGGUUACCCGCGACAGGACGGAAAGACCCCGUGGAGCUUUACUGUAGCCUGAUAUUGAAUUUUGGUACAGCUUGUACAGGAUAGGUAGGAGCCUGAGAAGCCGGAGCGCUAGCUUCGGUGGAGGCGUCGGUGGGAUACUACCCUGGCUGUAUUGAAAUUCUAACCCGCGGCCCUUAUCGGGCCGGGAGACAGUGUCAGGUGGGCAGUUUGACUGGGGCGGUCGCCUCCUAAAAUGUAACGGAGGCGCCCAAAGGUUCCCUCAGAAUGGUUGGAAAUCAUUCGUAGAGUGUAAAGGCACAAGGGAGCUUGACUGCGAGACCUACAAGUCGAGCAGGGACGAAAGUCGGGCUUAGUGAUCCGGUGGUUCCGCAUGGAAGGGCCAUCGCUCAACGGAUAAAAGCU
RNAcentral lists this ribosomal RNA (503 nucleotides) under Salmonella enterica. RNAcentral describes it as "partial 23S ribosomal RNA". It matches the Rfam family "Bacterial large subunit ribosomal RNA", at positions 1962 to 2464 of the family's 2925-position model. The record is from RNAcentral. Lineage: Bacteria; Pseudomonadati; Pseudomonadota; Gammaproteobacteria; Enterobacterales; Enterobacteriaceae.